Molecule: non-coding RNA, 24 nt
Filed under: Arabidopsis thaliana (thale cress)
Lineage: Eukaryota; Viridiplantae; Streptophyta; Magnoliopsida; Brassicales; Brassicaceae
Source: RNAcentral
UUCUCAAAGCUUUCAUGGUGUAGC